RNAcentral lists this ribosomal RNA (252 nucleotides) under uncultured bacterium. RNAcentral describes it as "partial 16S ribosomal RNA". It matches the Rfam family "Bacterial small subunit ribosomal RNA", at positions 525 to 776 of the family's 1533-position model. The record is from RNAcentral.
ACGUAGGUGGCAAGCGUUGUCCGGAAUUACUGGGUGUAAAGGGAGCGCAGGCGGGUUUGCAAGUUGGAAGUGAAAACUAUGGGCUCAACCCAUAAACUGCUUUCAAAACUGCGGAUCUUGAGUGGUGCAGAGGUAGGCGGAAUUCCCGGUGUAGCGGUGGAAUGCGUAGAUAUCGGGAGGAACACCAGUGGCGAAGGCGGCCUACUGGGCACUAACUGACGCUGAGGCUCGAAAGCAUGGGUAGCAAACAGG